RNAcentral lists this ribosomal RNA (253 nucleotides) under uncultured bacterium. RNAcentral's name for it is "partial 16S ribosomal RNA". It matches the Rfam family "Bacterial small subunit ribosomal RNA", at positions 524 to 776 of the family's 1533-position model. The record is from RNAcentral.
GACAGAGGGUGCAAACGUUGUUCGGAAUUACUGGGCGUAAAGCGAGUGUAGGCGGUCUGUAAAGUCGGGUGUGAAAGCCCCGGGCUCAACCCGGGAAGUGCACUCGAAACUCACAGGCUAGAGUAUCGGAGAGGUUGGUGGAAUUCUCGGUGUAGAGGUGAAGUUCGUAGAUAUCGGGAGGAACACCAGUGGCGAAGGCGGCGACCUGGACCGAUACUGACGCUGAGGGACGAAAGCUAGGGGAGCGAAAGGG